ACUUAAAUUGAAGAGUUUGAUCAUGGCUCAGAUUGAACGCUGGCGGCAGGCCUAACACAUGCAAGUCGAGCGGUAGCACAGAGAGCUUGCUCUCGGGUGACGAGCGGCGGACGGGUGAGUAAUGUCGUGGG
RNAcentral lists this ribosomal RNA (131 nucleotides) under Klebsiella pneumoniae subsp. pneumoniae KPNIH6. RNAcentral's name for it is "partial 16S ribosomal RNA". It matches the Rfam family "Bacterial small subunit ribosomal RNA", at positions 1 to 122 of the family's 1533-position model. The record is from RNAcentral. Lineage: Bacteria; Pseudomonadati; Pseudomonadota; Gammaproteobacteria; Enterobacterales; Enterobacteriaceae.